GACCAUAUGUGACGACGGGGAUUGAACUCAGGUCAGCCACAUGCAAGGCAAACGCCCUCCCUUCUGUACUAUCGCUCAGGCCUGGAAGCGUCCUUUUAAAACUCAAGCAAACUGGGUGUUUGUUUUAUAUCCUGUCAGAGGAAACAACA
RNAcentral lists this small nucleolar RNA (149 nucleotides) under Sorex araneus (European shrew). Its description in RNAcentral is "Small nucleolar RNA SNORA27 (ENSSARG00000019709.1)". The record is from RNAcentral. Lineage: Eukaryota; Metazoa; Chordata; Mammalia; Eulipotyphla; Soricidae.